GACGAACGCUGGCGGCGUGCCUAAUACAUGCAAGUCGAGCGAGCUUGCCUAGAUGAAUUUGGUGCUUGCACCAAAUGAAACUAGAUACAAGCGAGCGGCGGACGGGUGAGUAACACGUGGGUAACCUGCCCAAGAGACUGGGAUAACACCUGGAAACAGAUGCUAAUACCGGAUAACAACACUAGACGCAUGUCUAGAGUUUAAAAGAUGGUUCUGCUAUCACUCUUGGAUGGACCUGCGGUGCAUUAGCUAGUUGGUAAGGUAACGGCUUACCAAGGCAAUGAUGCAUAGCCGAGUUGAGAGACUGAUCGGCCACAUUGGGACUGAGACACGGCCCAAACUCCUACGGGAGGCAGCAGUAGGGAAUCUUCCACAAUGGACGCAAGUCUGAUGGAGCAACGCCGCGUGAGUGAAGAAGGGUUUCGGCUCGUAAAGCUCUGUUGGUAGUGAAGAAAGAUAGAGGUAGUAACUGGCCUUUAUUUGACGGUAAUUACUUAAAAAGUCACGGCUAACUACGUGCC
This 521-nucleotide ribosomal RNA is filed under the name Lactobacillus gasseri. RNAcentral describes it as "bacterial SSU rRNA". It matches the Rfam family "Bacterial small subunit ribosomal RNA", at positions 28 to 509 of the family's 1533-position model. Lineage: Bacteria; Bacillati; Bacillota; Bacilli; Lactobacillales; Lactobacillaceae. The record is from RNAcentral.